UGCCGGCGACCGGCGCACGGGUGCGGAACGCGUAUGGAACCUGCCCCUGUCAGGGGAAUAGCCCAGGGAAACUUGGAUUAAUGCCCCAUGGUACCGUUACAUCGCAUGAUGUUUCGGUUAAAGAUUUAUCGGACAGGGAUGGCCAUGCGUACCAUUAGUUAGUUGGCGGGGUAACGGCCCACCAAGGCAGCGAUGGUUAGGGGCCCUGAGAGGGGGAUCCCCCACACUGGUACUGAGACACGGACCAGACUCCUACGGGAGGCAGCAGUGAGGAAUAUUGGACAAUGGGCGGGAGCCUGAUCCAGCCAUGCCGCGUGCAGGAUGACUGCCCUAUGGGUUGUAAACUGCUUUUAUACGGGAAGAAACGCACCUACGUGUAGGUGUCUGACGGUACCGUAAGAAUAAGGACCGGCUAACUCCGUGCCAGCAGCCGCGGUAAUACGGAGGGUCCGAGCGUUAUCCGGAAUCAUUGGGUUUAAAGGGUCCGUAGGCGGGCCUGUAAGUCAGGGGUGAAAGUUUGUGGCUCAACCAUAAAAUUGCCUUUGAUACUGCAGGUCUUGAGUCAUGGUGGGGUUGCCGGAACAUGUGGUGUAGCGGUGAAAUGCAUAGAUAUCACAUAGAACACCGAUCGCGAAGGCAGGUGACCAACCAUGUACUGACGCUGAUGGA
RNAcentral lists this ribosomal RNA (669 nucleotides) under Flagellimonas marinaquae. Its description in RNAcentral is "bacterial SSU rRNA". It matches the Rfam family "Bacterial small subunit ribosomal RNA", at positions 86 to 753 of the family's 1533-position model. Lineage: Bacteria; Pseudomonadati; Bacteroidota; Flavobacteriia; Flavobacteriales; Flavobacteriaceae. The record is from RNAcentral.